UACGGAGGGAGCUAGCGUUGUUCGGAAUUACUGGGCGUAAAGCGCGCGUAGGCGGCUUUGUAAGUUAGAGGUGAAAGCCCGGGGCUCAACCCCGGAACUGCCUUUAAGACUGCAUCGCUUGAAUCCAGGAGAGGUGAGUGGAAUUCCGAGUGUAGAGGUGAAAUUCGUAGAUAUUCGGAAGAACACCAGUGGCGAAGGCGGCUCACGUCGGAGCU
RNAcentral lists this ribosomal RNA (215 nucleotides) under uncultured bacterium. Its description in RNAcentral is "partial 16S ribosomal RNA". It matches the Rfam family "Bacterial small subunit ribosomal RNA", at positions 524 to 741 of the family's 1533-position model. The record is from RNAcentral.